CCACGAUGCAUAGCCGACCUGAGAGGGUGAUCGGCCACAUUGGGACUGAGACACGGCCCAAACUCCUACGGGAGGCAGCAGUAGGGAAUCUUCGGCAAUGGACGAAAGUCUGACCGAGCAACGCCGCGUGAGUGAAGAAGGUUUUCGGAUCGUAAAACUCUGUUGUUAGAGAAGAACAAGGAUGGGAGUAACUGUUCAUCCCUUGACGGUAUCUAACCAGAAAGCCACGGCUAACUACGUGCCAGCAGCCGCGGUAAUACGUAGGUGGCAAGCGUUGUCCGGAUUUAUUGGGCGUAAAGCGAGCGCAGGCGGUUUCUUAAGUCUGAUGUGAAAGCCCCCGGCUCAACCGGGGAGGGUCAUUGGAAACUGGGAGACUUGAGUGCAGAAGAGGAGAGUGGAAUUCCAUGUGUAGCGGUGAAAUGCGUAGAUAUAUGGAGGAACACCAGUGGCGAAGGCGGCUCUCUGGUCUGUAACUGACGCUGAGGC
Molecule: ribosomal RNA, 486 nt
Filed under: uncultured Bacilli bacterium
Lineage: Bacteria; Bacillati; Bacillota; Bacilli
Description: bacterial SSU rRNA
Rfam family: Bacterial small subunit ribosomal RNA
Source: RNAcentral